UCAAGUGAAUAAGCGUGCACGGUGGAUGCCUAGGCAGUCAGAGGCGAUGAAGGACGUGGUAACCUGCGAAAAGCUUUGGGGAGGUGGUAAACAACCUAUGAUCCAGAGAUAUCCGAAUGGGGAAACCCACCCAGUGUAAGCUGGGUACCCUAUACUGAAUACAUAGGUAUAGGGGGCGAACCGGGAGAACUGAAACAUCUAAGUACCCCGAGGAAAAGAAAUCAAUUGAGAUUCCCCUAGUAGCGGCGAGCGAACGGGGAUUAGCCCUUAAGCAUUUUAAGAUUUAGCGGAACAAACUGGAAAGUUUGGCCAUAGUGGGUGAUAGCCCCGUACGCGAAAAGUCUUUUAGUGUGAAAACGAGUAGGUCGGGACACGAGAAAUCUUGACUGAAUAUGGGGGGACCAUCCUCCAAGGCUAAAUACUCCUGACUGACCGAUAGUGAACCAGUACCGUGAGGGAAAGGCGAAAAGAACCCCUGUGAGGGGAGUGAAAUAGAUCCUGAAACCGUGUACGUACAAGCAGUGGGAGCCGAUUUAUUCGGUGACUGCGUACCUUUUGUAUAAUGGGUCAGCGACUUAAUUUUAGUAGCAAGCUUAACCGAAUAGGGGAGGCGUAGGGAAACCGAGUCUUAAUAGGGCGCAUAGUUGCUAGGAUUAGACCCGAAACCGGGCGAUCUACCCAUGGCCAGGUUGAAGGUUGAGUAACAUCAACUGGAGGACCGAACCCACGUAUGUUGAAAAAUGCGGGGAUGAGCUGUGGGUCGGAGUGAAAGGCUAAUCAAGCCCGGAGAUAGCUGGUUCUCCUCGAAAGCUAUUUAGGUAGCGCCUCGUGUCUCACCAUUGGGGGUAGAGCACUGUUUCGGCUAGGGGGUCAUCCCGACUUACCAACCCGAUGCAAACUCCGAAUACCAAUGAGUGCAAUCACGGGAGACACACGGCGGGUGCUAACGUCCGUCGUGGAAAGGGAAACAACCCAGACCGUCAGCUAAGGUCCCAAAGUGUAUGUUAAGUGGGAAACGAUGUGGGAAGGUUCAGACAGCUAGGAGGUUGGCUUAGAAGCAGCCAUCCUUUAAAGAAAGCGUAAUAGCUCACUAGUCGAAUCGGCCUGCGCGGAAGAUAUAACGGGGCUCAAACAUACCACCGAAGCUACGGAUGCAGAUUUAUCUGCAUGGUAGAGGAGCGUUCUGUAGGCCGUUGAAGGCAAAGCUGAGAGGCAUGCUGGAGGUAUCAGAAGUGCGAAUGCUGACAUGAGUAACGAUAAGGGGAGUGAAAAGCUCCCCCGCCGGAAGACCAAGGUUUCCUAUCCAAUGCUAAUCAGGGUAGGGUGAGUCGGCCCCUAAGGCGAGGCUGAAGAGCGUAGUCGAUGGGAAGCAGGUUAAUAUUCCUGCACCACUCAAUAUUGCGAAGGAGGGACGGAGAAGGCUAGUCCAGCACGGCGUUGGUUGUCCGUGUUUAAGCGUGUAGGCUGGGAGUUUAGGUAAAUCCGGACUCCCUUAAGGCUGAGGCGUGAUGACGAGGUCCAUUAGGACUGAAGUGGUUGAUGCCAUGCUUCCAGGAAAAGCUUCUAAGCAUCAGAUAUUGAGUGACCGUACCCCAAACCGACACAGGUGGUCAGGUAGAGAAUACCAAGGCGCUUGAGAGAACUCGGGUGAAGGAACUAGGCAAAAUGGUACCGUAACUUCGGGAGAAGGUACGCCGGUUUUGGUGAUGAGACUUGCUCUCUAAGCUGAGGCUGGCCGAAGUGACCAGGUGGCUGCGACUGUUUAUUAAAAACAUAGCACUCUGCAAACACGUAAGUGGACGUAUAGGGUGUGACGCCUGCCCGGUGCCGGAAGGUUAAUUGAUGGGGUUAUCUUCGGAGAAGCUCUUGAUCGAAGCCCCGGUAAACGGCGGCCGUAACUAUAACGGUCCUAAGGUAGCGAAAUUCCUUGUCGGGUAAGUUCCGACCUGCACGAAUG
Molecule: ribosomal RNA, 1957 nt
Filed under: marine metagenome
Description: bacterial LSU rRNA
Rfam family: Bacterial large subunit ribosomal RNA
Source: RNAcentral